This 513-nucleotide ribosomal RNA is filed under the name uncultured bacterium. Its description in RNAcentral is "bacterial SSU rRNA". It matches the Rfam family "Bacterial small subunit ribosomal RNA", at positions 35 to 518 of the family's 1533-position model. The record is from RNAcentral.
AACGAACGGCUGGUAGCGUGGAUUAGGCAUGCAAGUCGAACGGGAUCACCGAUAUAGUAAUAUUGAGGUGUGAGAGUGGCGGAUUGGGGAGGAACACGUGAGCAACCUGCCUUGGAGUCGGGGAAAACCGUUGGAAACGACGGCUAAUACCGGAUGUGGCGCCCGAUGACAUCAUCGGAGCGCUAAAGGGGGCCGCAAGGCUCUCGCUCCUAGAGGGGCUCGCGCACCAUCAGCUUGUUGGCGGGUAACGGCCCACCAAGGCCUACGGUUAGCUGGUCUGAGAGGAUGACCAGCCCCCACUGGGACUGAGAUACUGCCCAGACUCCUACGGGAGGCUGCAGUCGAGGAUCAUUUGCAAUGGGCGAAAGCCUGACAAUGCGACGCUGCGUGGAGGAAUGAAGGCCUUCGGGUUGUAAACUCCUGUCAUGGGGGAACAGGCGAGGGGAGUUAAUACCUCCCUUAGUUGAGUGUACCCCAAGAGGAAUUGGCGGCUAACUCUGUGCCAGCAGCUGC